UCUCUAUCUAUUACUAUUUCCUAUUUCCCCACCGUCCAGAGCUCCUCCCUGCCAUGCCAAAUCUCCUAAUCUUUUACCCCCUGGCCGGAGAUCCUCCUGGACUAAUCCACCCGCAUGGGUUAGCAGGGAGCUUGCGGCGGCCGGCAUCAAGCAGAGGAUGGAGAGGAUGGAGAGAUGUGCGCUGCGGCCUACUGUUGAGAUGCGAGCCCUGCAGGCGGCCGAUGAUGUAUGGCACGGGGCGGCAGGAGGUAGGCGGCGCUUCUUGGGUGACGAGGUAGAGGCGGCGGGGAACAUCGGCUGGCAUGGAGGUCGGCCGGGGCUUGGCCCGUACUAGCUGCUGUCGAGGUGUUGCCGGUGUGGUCGCGGACAUCUGCGUCGAGCUGCGUUCGCCGCAGGAGCCGAAGGGAGUACUGCCGAAGGAGAGCAGCAGGGGAGGGGCUGCGCGGUCGAGGAGGUUUGUGAUUCACUAGCUGUAAGGAUUUCUGAAAUUUGGUUUGGCAUGCUUUCUUCAAUGGUAGUAGCGCUGUCCGUCAUGGUCUUUUCUCCCUCUUUGCCGGCCACCUCGAGGUGCUGAUGCUCGCCGCUGUCGUCACUUGAGGGACAACUGCCUUUCGUCCUCUCUGUCAGGAUACGGCUGGUGCCAGUAUGUGUUCGCAACUUCGCAUACGAGCGUGGGCGUCGAUGGAAGGUAGGAGGCCAGCCCCGACACCUAUGUUUCUUCCAUAUGCCAUGCGGGCUGUUCCCCGUUCGGUCCGGGUGGAGUGGGUGCUGAUGUGGGCUAGGACGGGCACGGCGAAGCGCUCGAUCGCGGAUAGAAGAGGCCAAGGUGAACGCCGUGAUGUGACAAAUGGCCUGGCUACUUCUCUUGAUUUACCCGACAUCCAGUUUUUUUUAUGUAGUAUAUCUAUAAUUUUGACAACAACUGCUGGGCUGCUAUCAGAGGAUUCAGAACAUGAAGAAGGCAGAGGUUCAUGUUGAUUAACCUGACAAGACGAUCAAUUACUACUUUCAAUUCCGAAGUGGUGUGCAUAUAUUACAGAGUUGUACAAUACUGAAUUUUGGAACUUGUCUUCAUGUUACAAUCACUUGGCCAAUGACAUGUGGAAUGAGCGAUAGUUUUGAGCUUCUUUACUUUUGAGUGCCAACAUUAGUAGGGGGGCUAAUCCAGCCAAAGGAUCAGCAGAAUAGGUUGUCUAAUUCAUGAACAUUUAUCAGAGAGUGUUAAGAAUGAGAAAUGUAUGCUGGAGUCAGCAGAAACCACAGAUUGUUAUGGAAGCAAAGAGGUAGUCAAAGAACUAGGGUCUGGACGAAGCUGAGAUCUUGCAACAGUUUUGUCGGAGGAGUUGACUGAAACAAACAUGAAUAUAGUAUUUGAAACAGCCAAAGUUGAAUUCUUGGGGAAAUUUGUUUGAUCACGGGAAGGAAUGAGGAUGGUGAUGAAGCUUGCAAUACACGCUGCCCCUCCUCCAGCUUCCCCAGGGCAUAUUUUGUGCAGAAAUGAUCUGACGGCUUGGUUGACUUCUUCGCUUUAUAGUGCUGGUUUAUAAUUACACAUUUUGUAAUAACAAUGUCAGAGCAAAGCGAGCGCAGUGUGCAGUUUGUGAAGAAACUAUGAUCUUCAUGCACAGCGUAGUCCUGUGCAAAAUUAACUAAGUGGGGAGAGAGUAACAAGGCAGGCAACAGAUGCCUUGGCUAGCCACCCAAGAAAUCAUGGGGACAUUGUCACAAAAGAUUGUACUCUUCUGUUUUCAUAUAUGAAGCUCUCUUUCACCUUAAGAAGUGUUGUUUUGAUAUACGAAGCUCUCUUUCACCUUAAAAAAUGUAUUAUUUAGUCCAAUCAAGGUAGAAUCUGGAAUCUGUGUAACCUACAA
Lolium perenne is the source of this 1871-nucleotide long non-coding RNA. RefSeq lists it as uncharacterized. The record is from RefSeq and is a predicted model, not a curated record. Lineage: Eukaryota; Viridiplantae; Streptophyta; Magnoliopsida; Poales; Poaceae.